RNAcentral lists this non-coding RNA (36 nucleotides) under Desulfonatronospira thiodismutans ASO3-1. The record is from RNAcentral. Lineage: Bacteria; Pseudomonadati; Thermodesulfobacteriota; Desulfovibrionia; Desulfovibrionales; Desulfonatronovibrionaceae.
GUUAUCCGUGGCAUUUUGCCACGGCCUCAUUGAAGC